Molecule: ribosomal RNA, 492 nt
Filed under: uncultured bacterium
Lineage: Bacteria
Description: partial 16S ribosomal RNA
Rfam family: Bacterial small subunit ribosomal RNA
Source: RNAcentral
AGUGAACGCUGGCGGUAUGCCUAACACAUGCAAGUCGAACGGCAGCUCAGUAAGUGCUUGCUCUUACGUGUGGCGCGUGGCGGACGGGUGCCUUAUACAUCGGAAUCUACUUUUUCGUGGGUGCUAACGUAGGGAAACUUACGCUAAUACCGCAUACGUCCUCCGUGUGUAAGCAGGCGAUCUUCUGACCUUGCGCGAUUGUAUGAGCCUAUGUCGGAUUAGCUAGUUGGCUGGGUAAAGGCCCACCAAGGCCACGAUCCGUAUCUGGUCUGAGAGGAUGGACAGACACACUGGAAGUGAGACAGGGUACAGACUCCUGGAGGGGGAAGCGGUGGGGAAUAUUGGACGAUGGGGGCGAGCGUGAUCCAGGAAUACGGCGUGAGUGAUGAAGGAGUUAGGGUUGGAGAGCCAUGAUGUUGGGAGAGAAGAGAAGCAGGUUAACACCCCACGGUAAUGACGGUACCCAAAGAAUAAGCACCGGCUAACUUCGUG